This 334-nucleotide long non-coding RNA is filed under the name Ursus maritimus (polar bear). RNAcentral's name for it is "lncRNA (ENSUMAG00000008684.1)". The record is from RNAcentral. Lineage: Eukaryota; Metazoa; Chordata; Mammalia; Carnivora; Ursidae.
CCGAAACCAAGGAAACCACGCUUUCCUUGCGAUGUGACGGCUUUCCUUUAAACAGUUCUUCAUGCAUUCACAUUCUCUGCUUGCUGUCUUCACACAGUGGAACGCCCACCAGAGGAAUAGCUCCACACUUGACAAGGAGGACAGCAGUGGAGAACAAGACAGUCAGGAACCCAAGCCUUAGGUGGGACAGCUCUCUGGAAGUGGGAAGCGGCCAGGUGUGGACCAAACACACUCCAGGAAGUCAGCGACGGCAGAGGUGACAUUGAUCUCAUGCUUUUUGGUAUGGAGUAUUCAAAAUAUUCAGAUGUCCUUCCACUCUCUUCCCCCAGUGCCC